Molecule: long non-coding RNA, 218 nt
Filed under: Nicotiana benthamiana
Lineage: Eukaryota; Viridiplantae; Streptophyta; Magnoliopsida; Solanales; Solanaceae
Description: long non-coding RNA (NBEN_LNC000551)
Source: RNAcentral
CCCUUUCUUCUCGUUCUUGGGCACCUCAACUUUUGCCUGAAUUGAGCUUAGAAGCCGCAUGGUCCCAAUCUUUGCUUCCUCCUUCUCGUGAUCCUCGAAUAAGGCCGAAAGCGUACUCUUUUUGGGGCAAUCCCUCGCAUAGUGUGGUCCAUCAUAAAAGAAGCAUUGGACCGGGGUCUUCGGUUUGGGAGGGAAAUCUCUACGUCCCUUGGCCCUUU